RNAcentral lists this ribosomal RNA (274 nucleotides) under uncultured bacterium. RNAcentral describes it as "partial 16S ribosomal RNA". It matches the Rfam family "Bacterial small subunit ribosomal RNA", at positions 523 to 796 of the family's 1533-position model. The record is from RNAcentral.
AUACGGAGGGUGCAAGCGUUACUCGGAAUCACUGGGCGUAAAGCGCGCGCAGGCGGCUACUUAAGUUGGAUGUGAAAGCCUACGGCUCAACCGUAGAACUGCAUCCAAAACUAUUUAGCUAGAGUGUGGGAGAGGAAGAUGGAAUUAGUUGUGUAGGGGUAAAAUCCGUAGAGAUAACUAGGAAUACCAAAAGCGAAGGCAAUCUUCUGGAACACUACUGACGCUGAGGCGCGAAAGCGUGGGGAGCAAACAGGAUUAGAAACCCUAGUAGUCC